This 242-nucleotide unclassified non-coding RNA is filed under the name Dioszegia sp. RNAcentral describes it as "partial contains 5.8S ribosomal RNA, internal transcribed spacer 2, and large subunit ribosomal RNA". The record is from RNAcentral. Lineage: Eukaryota; Fungi; Basidiomycota; Tremellomycetes; Tremellales; Bulleribasidiaceae.
CGCACCUUGCGCCCUUUGGUAUUCCGAAGGGCAUGCCUGUUUGAGUGUCAUAUAAACCUUCACCCCUCGGUUUUGCCUAGUCUUAACCUUGGGAGUGCUUUGGGCGUCUGCCGUUUGCUCUGGCUCGCCUUAAAUGCCUAAGUGGAUCUUUUGCGUGAUUAAGUCUUCGCAAGGAAACGUCCACUCUAAUCCACCCUUUAUGCUUUGACCUCAAAUCAGGUAGGACUACCCGCUGAACUUAA